Molecule: ribosomal RNA, 450 nt
Filed under: uncultured bacterium
Lineage: Bacteria
Description: partial 16S ribosomal RNA
Rfam family: Bacterial small subunit ribosomal RNA
Source: RNAcentral
GUGGGGAAUUUUGGGCAAUGGGCGAAAGCCUGACCCAGCCACGCCGCGUGAGUGAUGAAGGCCUUCGGGUUGUAAAGCUCUGUGGGGAGGGAAGAAAAAGCGCAGGAGUAACUGCCUGUGUGUUGACGGUACCUCCUUAGCAAGCACCGGCUAACUCUGUGCCAGCAGCCGCGGUAAUACAGAGGGUGCAAACGUUGCUCGGAAUUACUGGGCGUAAAGCGCGUGUAGGCUGACAUGCAAGUCGGGUGUGAAAUCCCAGGGCUCAACCUUGGAACUGCACUCGAAACUGCACGUCUUGAGUACUGGAGAGGGAAGCGGAAUUCCGGGUGUAGAGGUGAAAUUCGUAGAUAUCCGGAGGAACACCAGUGGCGAAGGCGGCUUCCUGGACAGUAACUGACGCUGAGACGCGAAAGCGUGGGGAGCAAACAGGAUUAGAUACCCUAGUAGUCC